Molecule: ribosomal RNA, 253 nt
Filed under: uncultured bacterium
Lineage: Bacteria
Description: partial 16S ribosomal RNA
Rfam family: Bacterial small subunit ribosomal RNA
Source: RNAcentral
GACGGAGGUCCCUAGCGUUGUUCGGAAUCACUGGGCUUAAAGCGCGUGUAGGCGGGGUGGCAAGUACCUUGUGAAAUCCCCGGGCUCAACCCGGGAAUGGCUCGGUAUACUGUCACUCUUGAGGCAGGUAGAGGUCACUGGAACCUUAGGUGGAGCGGUGAAAUGCGUAGAUAUCUAAGGGAACGCCUGUGGCGAAAGCGGGUGACUGGGCCUGCCCUGACGCUGAGACGCGAAAGCGUAGGGAGCAAACGGG